Eragrostis curvula (weeping love grass) is the source of this 72-nucleotide non-coding RNA. The record is from the annotation of a GenBank genome assembly. NCBI's taxonomy places the organism in Eukaryota, Viridiplantae, Streptophyta, Magnoliopsida, Poales, Poaceae.
GGGCCUGUAGUCUAGUGGUUACAAGAGACUCGGUAGCACCUGAGGUUCUGGGUUCGACUCCCGGUGGGAGCG